ACAUGGAUGGUGGUUUUGAAUCUAGGAUCCACUGGCUUACUGGUUUCAUGGUUGAUGAAGUACGCUGACAACAUUGUGAAGGUAUAUUCCACGUCAAUGGCAAUGUUGCUGACAACGGUUUUGUCUAUAUACCUUUUUAGCUUCAAGCCUACAUUGCAGCUUUUCCUGGGUAUCAUCAUCUGUAUGAUGUCACUGCACAUGUAUUUUGCCCAUCCAAACAUGCUUGUGGAUUUGCCAACGGUCAAAUCUCCUCCUGAGAGCCUAAAAGAAGUUUCUAUUGAACGACAAACAGAUUCCUGAUGUUUCUUAUAUGUCUAGAAGCUAAUUGUUUUGCUAGGUGCUCACUGAAAGUUGCAUUGCAAAUGGUUUUAAUUCAUGAGAUGCAACAAAGGGAAUAUUACACAAGUGUCCUUGUCUUGCUUGCACAGAUAUGCCUCCUUGGCUGGAUUUAGAGCCAAUUUUAUGACCAUCAUUCUUCUUCAAAACUAUUUGGCCAUCUGGUGAGACGUCAUGCAAGAAGCAUGAGGAUAACUUUUGUGAUCCAGGGUAGUUCAAAAGGUUUCUUCUUUAUCAUUUAUAGUAAGAG
This 586-nucleotide unclassified non-coding RNA is filed under the name Hevea brasiliensis (rubber tree). The record is from RNAcentral. Lineage: Eukaryota; Viridiplantae; Streptophyta; Magnoliopsida; Malpighiales; Euphorbiaceae.